UUUUUUUUUUUUUUUUAAUUUUCAUUUUUUUCCUUCAUGUGAUUGCUUUCUCAAUUGGAUUUUGGGACGGUGAUUAUUUGGGCAUGGUGAUGUGAUUACACGUGUACGAUCUGAUGAUGGGAUGAGAGGAUGAUUAUUGUAGAAAUGGGUAUGAUGUACAUCAAAUAAAACAGUUUGCUAUUCUUUUCUAAGUGUUCCUAGUUCUUUGUCUUUUAU
This 216-nucleotide unclassified non-coding RNA is filed under the name Hevea brasiliensis (rubber tree). The record is from RNAcentral. Lineage: Eukaryota; Viridiplantae; Streptophyta; Magnoliopsida; Malpighiales; Euphorbiaceae.